This 430-nucleotide ribosomal RNA is filed under the name uncultured bacterium. Its description in RNAcentral is "bacterial SSU rRNA". It matches the Rfam family "Bacterial small subunit ribosomal RNA", at positions 28 to 478 of the family's 1533-position model. The record is from RNAcentral.
GAUGAACGCUGGCGGCGCGCCUAACACAUGCAAGUCGAACGGCACCCCUCUCCGGAGGGAAGCGAGUGGCGAACGGCUGAGUAACACGCGGAGAACCUGCCCCCUCCCCCGGGAUAGCCGCCCGAAAGGACGGGUAAUACCGGAUACCCCGGGGUGCCGCAUGGCACCCCGGCUAAAGCCCCGACGGGAGGGGAUGGCUCCGCGGCCCAUCAGGUAGACGGCGGGGUGACGGCCCACCGUGCCGACAACGGGUAGCCGGGUUGAGAGACCGACCGGCCAGAUUGGGACUGAGACACGGCCCAGACUCCUACGGGAGGCAGCAGUGGGGAAUCUUGCGCAAUGGGGGGAACCCUGACGCAGCGACGCCGCGUGCGGGACGGAGGCCUUCGGGUCGUAAACCGCUUUCAGCAGGGAAGAGUCAAGACUGUAC